ACCUACGGGAGGCAGCAGUAGGGAAUUUUCGUCAAUGGGCGCAAGCCUGAACGAGCAAUGCCGCGUGAACGAGGAAGGUCUUCGGAUCGUAAAGUUCUGUUGAAGGGGAAAAAGAGCGGAGAGAGGAAAUGGUCUCCGAUUGAUAUUACCCUUCGAGGAAGUCACGGCUAACUACGUGCCAGCAGCCGCGGUAAUACGUAGGUGGCGAGCGUUAUCCGGAAUGAUUGGGCGUAAAGGGUGCGUAGGCGGCCUACUAAGUCUGGAGUGAAAGGUACCGGCUCAACCGGUACAGGCUCUGGAAACUG
This 305-nucleotide ribosomal RNA is filed under the name uncultured bacterium. Its description in RNAcentral is "bacterial SSU rRNA". It matches the Rfam family "Bacterial small subunit ribosomal RNA", at positions 337 to 635 of the family's 1533-position model. The record is from RNAcentral.